Molecule: ribosomal RNA, 301 nt
Filed under: uncultured bacterium
Lineage: Bacteria
Description: partial 16S ribosomal RNA
Rfam family: Bacterial small subunit ribosomal RNA
Source: RNAcentral
CAGCCGCCACGGUAAUACGAAGGGGGCUAGCGUUGUUCGGAAUUACUGGGCGUAAAGCGCACGCAGGCGGCUCGAUAAAUUAGAAGUGAAAGCCUUGGGCUUAACCUGAGAAUUGCUUUUAAGACUGUCGAGCUAGAAUCCAGAAGAGGGUAGUGGAAUUCCGAGUGUAGAGGUGAAAUUCGUAGAUAUUCGGAAGAACACCGGUGGCGAAGGCGACUACCUGGUCUGGCAUUGACGCUCAUGUGCGAAAGCGUGGGGAGCAAACAGGAUUAGAUACCCCUGUAGUCCCUGUCUCUUAUAC